GGGGCCGACCUGGUUUCGACGUUGGUGCGGAUUCGGGACAGGGCAUGUCGAGCACCAGUCAGCUCGUAAAUCCACUGGAAAAAAACCAACUGCAAACGAUCAAAAGUUCGCACUCGCCGCUUAAUACCGGUGAGCCUCUCAACAGUCGGCCCAUGGGCUGGGUCUGAGCCGCAAGGCAAGGACUGAGAGGUCAUUUUCAUGGGCUGGGCUUCACCUGGGUCACUCAGAUGAAGUCGAGAUCAAGUGACUGGCUGACCUGGUAGCGUGCUGCUGCGCGAUCAGGUUGGCGAGAUCCAAAUCAGACAGCUAAACAUGUAGAUCUGCUCGUUGAUGGCUGACGGACGGGGGUUCAAUUCCCCCCGGCUCCACCA
Non-coding RNA from Burkholderiales bacterium, 371 nucleotides. The record is from Rfam. Lineage: Bacteria; Pseudomonadati; Pseudomonadota; Betaproteobacteria; Burkholderiales.